GGAUAGCUCAACUGGUUAUAGCAUGGUGCCGAUAAUGCCAAGGUCACAGGUUCGAUCCCCGUAUGGGACA
RNAcentral lists this transfer RNA (70 nucleotides) under Podarcis lilfordi (Lilford's wall lizard). RNAcentral describes it as "tRNA.Ile". Lineage: Eukaryota; Metazoa; Chordata; Lepidosauria; Squamata; Lacertidae. The record is from RNAcentral.